This 333-nucleotide unclassified non-coding RNA is filed under the name soil metagenome. RNAcentral's name for it is "partial contains 5.8S ribosomal RNA, internal transcribed spacer 2, and large subunit ribosomal RNA". The stretch from base 1 to 120 matches the Rfam family "5.8S ribosomal RNA", at positions 35 to 154 of the family's 154-position model. The record is from RNAcentral.
GAUGAAGAACGCAGCAAAAUGCGAUAAGUAAUGUGAAUUGCAGAAUUCAGUGAAUCAUCGAAUCUUUGAACGCACAUUGCGCCCGCCAGUAUUCUGGCGGGCAUGCCUGUUCGAGCGUCAUUUCAACCCUCAAGCUCAGCUUGGUGUUGGGACUCGCGGUAACCCGCGUUCCCCAAAUCGAUUGGCGGUCACGUCAAGCUUCCAUAGCGUAGUAAUCAUACACCUCGUUACUGGUAAUCGUCGCGGCCACGCCGUAAAACCCCAACUUCUGAAUGUUGACCUCGGAUCAGGUAGGAAUACCCGCUGAACUUAAGCAUAUCAAUAAGCGGAGGA